CCUACGGGCGGCAGCAGUGGGGAAUUUUGCGCAAUGGGGGAAACCCUGACGCAGCAACGCCGCGUGCGGGACGAAGGCCUUCGGGUUGUAAACCGCUUUCAGCAGGGACGAAUUCCGACGGUACCUGCAGAAGAAGCCCCGGCUAACUACGUGCCAGCAGCCGCGGUAAUACGUAGGGGGCGAGCGUUAUCCGGAUUCAUUGGGCGUAAAGGGCGCGUAGGCGGAGCGUCAAGCGGGACCUCUAACCCCGAGGCUCAACCCCGGGCCGGGGCCGGGACUGGCGCGCUGGAGUGCGGGAGAGGCAAGAGGAAUGCGCGGUGUAGCGGUGGAAUGCGGAGAUAGCGGGAAGAA
RNAcentral lists this ribosomal RNA (351 nucleotides) under uncultured bacterium. RNAcentral's name for it is "partial 16S ribosomal RNA". It matches the Rfam family "Bacterial small subunit ribosomal RNA", at positions 338 to 706 of the family's 1533-position model. The record is from RNAcentral.